Gorilla gorilla gorilla (western lowland gorilla) is the source of this 108-nucleotide ribosomal RNA. NCBI's taxonomy places the organism in Eukaryota, Metazoa, Chordata, Mammalia, Primates, Hominidae. The record is from Ensembl.
GUGUACAGGCAUACCACCCUGAACAUGCCCAGUCUCUUCUGAUCCCUAAAGCUAAGUACAGUUGGACCUGGUUAGUACUUGGACGGGAGAAAGAAGGAAUUUAACACA